RNAcentral lists this long non-coding RNA (2541 nucleotides) under Canis lupus familiaris (dog). RNAcentral's name for it is "lncRNA (ENSCAFG00040003353.1)". Lineage: Eukaryota; Metazoa; Chordata; Mammalia; Carnivora; Canidae. The record is from RNAcentral.
GGUUCCUUGGAUCUAGCAGCAAUGGCCAGGAGGGCCAAGGCCUCGUGCUGAUAUUUAGCUCAGGGGCCAGCCUCCUGGGCACACAGGUCAAUAAACACGCUCUCAGUGUUAAAGAAAAGAAAAAGCCACCUAGGAGGGACGCCUGGGGGGCUCAGCUCUCGAGCAUCCGCCUUCAGCUCAGGGCGUGACCCCAGGGUCCCAGGAUCGAGUCCCACGUCGGGCUCCCCGCAGGGAGCCUGCUUCUCCCUCUGCCUGUGUCUCUGCCUCUCAUGAAUAAAUCAAUAAAAUCUUAAAAAAAAGGAAAAAAAAAAAAAAGAAAAAGCCACCUAGGAGAUCUGAUACAGAACCAGGUGGAGCUUCUAGAAAUGACAAGCAGCAUCCUCAGGGAGCCAGGAGCUCCACAGCCGCCCUGAGUCCCUGUGGUAGACAGAACUCGUGAGCUAGAAGACAGGUCAUAAGACUAUGACCCAGGAUGUGGUCCAGAGAGACCAAAGGAGGAAAGGGUGUCAGCGGCGGAGCAGGGCCGGCAGAAGGCCAGGAGGGCCGUCCUCAGGCUGCUCAGAGCCCAGUCGCAGGAGCUGGGGGCAGGUGGGUGAUUCCAGCAGGAGGCCCCCAUGGCCCUGGGGUCAUGACCUGAGCUGAAGGCAGACGCUUCGCCGACGGAGCCACCCAGGCGCCCUGACUUGGUCAUUUCUUAGACCCUUGAUGACUUUUAAUUAAUAAGCGAUUUUAAGCUGUUUUAUAAAGUUGAGGGUCUUUGUUUUUACAGUUUUUAGUAGGGGCGGGCAUGGCCUGGGGUCUCCGGGGCUCACGGGACGCUGCGUGCACAGGAGUGAGUGGUGGUGCAGAUGCCUCUGUGCCGCGGUGCCCACAUGUACACACGACCCCGGCAGCCAGGCCCUGCCCCGAGCCUGCCGCCCGAGUCCCGAGCCCACCUCAGGUCCUCGCCUUCGCUCCCCACUGGGCCCGGCCCGGGUGACCCGGAGCCUGGCGGGGCAGGGGGCAGGGCCGUCCGGCCCCGGGGGCUGGAGGUGCCCACCCCUCACCCAGCAGCCCUGCUGUUUCAGCCCCAGCUCACAGGGCAGGUGGGGCCUGGAGCACGUGCGGCCAGAUGCUUCCCCCCGACGCCCCCCAGUCCAGAGCCACACGGGCGGCGGGGUCCCCUGCCCUGGGCACAGCUCUGCUCGCAGCAAGACCACAGCCCUGGCGUCUUCUCCGCAGCCCAUUAGAGGAGGGUCGGGCCAGAGUGGCGGACAGGAGGGGCCUGUCCAUGAACCCCACUGUGGCCAUCAUGGUCCGCAGGGCUCACCACCUGUGGGAUCCAAGCCUGGGCAAUCGCCUUGUGCAGGUCAGAGCGAUGCGGGCUCCAGCCUGUGGCACCUGAGGUCUGCCCCCACCGUCCUGCCCCUGGGCUGGAGCCAGUGGCCCCCAGGGAGACAGCAGGGUCAGGGCCGGUCCGCCCAGUCUGAGUGGUGGCCCCCAAGGGCUGUCCUUCCUGCAGGCUGCCUCCCCUGACGCUCCUCCUCCCCCUCCUGCCUCUGAAAUAUUAAAACCCUCUGCUGGCUCCUCUCCUAUCCGGAGAAAAGCCCAGGUCCUUAAAGGGUCCCACACAAUCGGCCCACAUCGCCCUCUGGUCCCCAUCCAUCUCUCCCCUGAAGCCACACCAGCCUGCAGCUGAACAGCCGGCACAGGGCCUUUGCACUCGCCAACUCCCGUUUUCCUUCGAACCUCCUCCUGCCCCCGCACCGCCCCUGACUCUGCACACAGCGCCCCGUAGAACUCUCGGCUGAGUCUACUGUUUCCUCCUCUGGAACCCGCGCUCCAGGCGAGCGGGCGGGUGGGCUGUUUCUCCACGCCCCGCCCUCAGGUGUGAAACAGGGACCCAUAGCUCACAGGCGCUCAAUAAACGCAUCCUGGGUGAAGAGAAACUCCAGGCCGGGGGCACCCGGGAGGCUCAGUCAGUUAGUUAGGCGUGUGCCUUCGGCUCAGGUCAUGAUCUCAGGGUCCUAGGAUCGAGCCCCGUGUUGGGCUCCCUGCUCAGCGGGGAGUCUGCUUCUCCCUCCCCCUCUGCCCGUCCCCUCAGGCCUCUCUUGUGCAUGCUAAUACAUAAUUAAAAAAAAAAGAAUAGAAAUACCAGGCUACCUUUAAGGAAAGCGUGUUUCGUUGUCCUGGUUCGGUGCGCCGCAGGGGCGCACACAGUGGGACGACCAGGUGCUCCCGGCCCCGCAUCCCUGGACUCCUUCAGUUUUGUGGUUGUUGUUAAUUUGAGUACCAAGUUUCAAAACAAAACAAAACAGGGCAGCCCCGGUGGCUCAGCGGUUUAGUUUCACCUUCAACCCAGGAUCGAGUCCCACGUCGGGCUCCCUGCAUGGAGCCUGCUUCUCCCUCUGCCUGUGUCUCUGCCUCUCUCUCUCUCUGGGUCUCUCGUGAAUAAAUAAAAUAACAUCUUUAAAACAAAACAAAACACAGGCGCUCACGGGAGCUCUGGCACUGGCUCCUGUGUGUUUGCAGAGAAAAGUGUAAAACCCCAAGCUCACUUGU